GCCAGGCAUGGUGGCGCAUGCCUGUACCUCGGAGGCUGAGGUGGGAGGAUCGUUUGAGCCCAUGAGUUCUGGGCUGUAGUGUGCUAUGCUGAUCAGGUGUCUGCACUAAGUUCAGUAUCAACAUGGUGACCUCCCAGGAGCAGGGGACCACCAGAUUGCCUAAGGAGGGGUGAACAGGCCCAGGUCAAAACUUCUGUGCUGACCAGUAGUGGGAUUGCGCCUGUGAAUAGCCGCUGCACUCCAGCCUGGGCAACAUAGUGAGACCCCAUCUCAA
This 274-nucleotide signal recognition particle RNA is filed under the name Callithrix jacchus (white-tufted-ear marmoset). Its description in RNAcentral is "Metazoan signal recognition particle RNA (ENSCJAG00000082806.1)". It matches the Rfam family "Metazoan signal recognition particle RNA". Rfam says of the family: The signal recognition particle (SRP) is a universally conserved ribonucleoprotein. It is involved in the co-translational targeting of proteins to membranes. Lineage: Eukaryota; Metazoa; Chordata; Mammalia; Primates; Cebidae. The record is from Rfam by way of RNAcentral.